This 528-nucleotide ribosomal RNA is filed under the name uncultured bacterium. RNAcentral describes it as "bacterial SSU rRNA". It matches the Rfam family "Bacterial small subunit ribosomal RNA", at positions 777 to 1304 of the family's 1533-position model. The record is from RNAcentral.
AAUAGAUACCCUGGUAGUCCACGCCGUAAACAAUGAGUGCUAAGUGUUAGGGGGUUUCCGCCCCUUAGUGCUGCAGCUAACGCAUUAAGCACUCCGCCUGGGGAGUACGGUCGCAAGACUGAAACUCAAAGGAAUUGACGGGGGCCCGCACAAGCGGUGGAGCAUGUGGUUUAAUUCGAAGCAACGCGAAGAACCUUACCAGGUCUUGACAUCCCGCUGACCGCUAUGGAGACAUAGCUUUCCCUUCGGGGACAGCGGUGACAGGUGGUGCAUGGUUGUCGUCAGCUCGUGUCGUGAGAUGUUGGGUUAAGUCCCGCAACGAGCGCAACCCUUGUCCUUAGUUGCCAUCAUUCAGUUGGGCACUCUAAGGAGACUGCCGUACAAAUACGGAGGAAGGUGGGGAUGACGUCAAAUCAUCAUGCCCCUUAUGACCUGGGCUACACACGUGCUACAAUGGACGGUACAAACGGUUGCGAAGUCGCGAGACGGAGCCAAUCCGAGAAAGCCGUUCUCAGUUCGGAUUGCAGG